RNAcentral lists this ribosomal RNA (484 nucleotides) under uncultured bacterium. RNAcentral describes it as "partial 16S ribosomal RNA". It matches the Rfam family "Bacterial small subunit ribosomal RNA", at positions 28 to 523 of the family's 1533-position model. The record is from RNAcentral.
GACGAACGCUGGCGGCGUGCUUAACACAUGCAAGUCGAACGAUGAAGCUGGAGCUUGCUCUAGCGGAUUAGUGGCGAACGGGUGAGUAACACGUGAGCAAUCUGCCCUUGACACUGGGAUAACUGCGGGAAACUGUAGCUAAUACCGGAUACUUUCACCGGGGGGCAUCCUCUGGUGAUGAAAGAAUUUCGGUCAAGGAUGGGCUCGCGGCCUAUCAGCUUGUUGGUGAGGUAACGGCUCACCAAGGCGACGACGGGUAACCGGCCUGAGAGGGUGACCGGUCACACUGGGACUGGGACACGGCCCAGACUCCUACGGGAGGCAGCAGUGGGGAAUAUUGCACAAUGGGCGCAAGCCUGAUGCAGCAACGCCGCGUGAGGGAUGAAGGCCUUCGGGUUGUAAACCUCUUUUAGCAGGGAAGAAGCGAAAGUGACGGUACCUGCAGAAAAAGUACCGGCUAACUACGUGCCAGCCGCCGCGGUAA